AAUAAAUUAUAUUCUCUCCCUGCUAAUUUGAAGGGGGAACAAUCAACUCCAUAACUCUAAUAAUUUCUUGUGGCAAAUAAAAAGCAAAAGUACUCAAAGCCUAAUUACCCCUCUCAUCCACAUAAUCACACACCUUAUAGCCUACCAUGGCUAUAGGAACAUCCCUAACAGCCAUGUCUCUCAACACAAUAUCAUCAAGCAACCAAUAAUCCAUCCAGAAAUUAAUAGAUCUCCCAUUUCCUAAACACCAUCGCAAUUUUGGGGCCAGCAAAUCCCAACUACUGCCAAUCCCUCUCCACAAAAUAAAACUUCCUAACUUGCUAAAACUACUAAGAGUUAAUUCAAAACUAAAAUUAUACUUGCUCCUCGGCACCUUCACCCAUAACGCAAACAACUUAGACAUCAAACCCUAACUUAACUUCAUAAAGAAAGCUCUAUUAAGCUCCACCAUUUUCCUAAAGCCAACCUUCUUUUAAUUUUUGGCUGGGAUACACUAUUCCAAGACACCAAAUCCAGCUUCCUACUAUCCUCCUUAGCUCCCCAAAUAAACUGAUGACAAUUAUUUCUCAAUACUCUUACAAAUCCCCAUUAAUAACUGAGUGGUUUGCAUAGCAUAAACUAGCAUGGCAG
RNAcentral lists this unclassified non-coding RNA (630 nucleotides) under Hevea brasiliensis (rubber tree). The record is from RNAcentral. Lineage: Eukaryota; Viridiplantae; Streptophyta; Magnoliopsida; Malpighiales; Euphorbiaceae.